UUAUGUCAAGGGCGAACCUGUUAAAAGCCGGGGGCGCAAAGCCACAGGGUCUAAGGCGUUUUCGGACGUUAUGAUAGUCUGGCUGCCAAA
RNAcentral lists this non-coding RNA (90 nucleotides) under Youngiibacter fragilis 232.1. RNAcentral describes it as "Clostridium sp. 232.1 c-di-GMP-I riboswitch aptamer". It matches the Rfam family "c-di-GMP-I riboswitch aptamer". From Rfam's summary of the family: GEMM was predicted in a large-scale screen for bacterial structured RNA regulatory elements. Genes associated with GEMM are involved in a diverse array of functions, including chemotaxis regulation, signal transduction, secretion and chitin. Lineage: Bacteria; Bacillati; Bacillota; Clostridia; Eubacteriales; Clostridiaceae. The record is from Rfam by way of RNAcentral. RNAcentral also lists the same sequence under 1 other name.